Long non-coding RNA from Arabidopsis thaliana (thale cress), 348 nucleotides. RefSeq annotates it as other RNA. The transcript has a single exon. Lineage: Eukaryota; Viridiplantae; Streptophyta; Magnoliopsida; Brassicales; Brassicaceae. The record is from RefSeq.
UUCUAGGUCAAAGCAGCAACGCAAUCUCGAGUCUCGUUAUAGUAUUCCACUUUUCAUUGCUUCAUCACACGAUCAGAUCUAGAUCAAAGGUUUGGGACAUUUACCACAACAAUGUGGCUCUUCCUAUAUCAAUCAGCUCAAUGACGGUUUUGUGUCUUAUUCUAAUAAUCUAUAUAUAACCGCUUGCCAUUCCAAUGAUGAAGAGGGUAGAAAUCUCGAAGAGCAACCUUUUCGUAAACUUGUUGCUCUUUAGAUUUUGAUGAACCGCACCUAAGUUCUUAGCUGUCGAAUCUAGCGCCUAAUUAAGCUUGCCUCUCAAGUCCCAACGUUUUCAACCCUUCGAUAGAU